Molecule: non-coding RNA, 242 nt
Filed under: gamma proteobacterium HdN1
Lineage: Bacteria; Pseudomonadati; Pseudomonadota; Gammaproteobacteria
Also listed under: 1 other name
Source: RNAcentral
ACAAUCGCCACCGUUACAGGUGCCUGCGCCAAUUGGACAGGUGAAACGGGAAGUCGGUGCGAAUCAGUGGAUUCCAUCCCGACGCUGCCCCCGCAACGGUAAAUGGGAACGUUCAGAGCAUAAAUCUGGCGUUCAAGGCAAAAGGUGCCACGGGGAUUUACCCUGGAAGGCCCGCCGCAGUCAUCCACAAAAGGAUGCGCUGUUCCAUGAGCCCGGAGACCGGCCUGUAGUGCCCCCCGUUC